RNAcentral lists this ribosomal RNA (253 nucleotides) under uncultured bacterium. RNAcentral's name for it is "partial 16S ribosomal RNA". It matches the Rfam family "Bacterial small subunit ribosomal RNA", at positions 524 to 776 of the family's 1533-position model. The record is from RNAcentral.
UACGUAGGGGGCAAGCGUUGUCCGGAUUCAUUGGGCGUAAAGAGCGUGUAGGCGGCUUGGCAAGUCGGAUGUGAAAGCCCACGGCUCAACCGUGGAAGCGCAUCCGAAACUGCUUCGCUCGAGUCUCGGAGAGGAAGGUGGAAUGCUUGGUGUAGAGGUGAAAUUCGUAGAUAUCAAGCAGAACACCUGCGGCGAAGGCGGCCUUCUGGACGAUGACUGACGCUGAGACGCGAAAGCGUGGGGAGCAAACAGG